This 75-nucleotide transfer RNA is filed under the name Desulforudis audaxviator. RNAcentral's name for it is "Candidatus Desulforudis audaxviator tRNA-Arg". It matches the Rfam family "tRNA". Rfam says of the family: Transfer RNA (tRNA) molecules are approximately 80 nucleotides in length. Their secondary structure includes four short double-helical elements and three loops (D, anti-codon, and T loops). The record is from RNAcentral. Lineage: Bacteria; Bacillati; Bacillota; Clostridia; Thermoanaerobacterales; Desulforudaceae. RNAcentral also lists the same sequence under 5 other names.
GCGCCCGUAGCUCAGUGGAUAGAGCGCUGGCCUCCGGAGCCAGGUGCGCAGGUUCGACUCCUGCCGGGCGCACCA